CUCCCGCGCCUAGUGUCCGGGACGCGCCUGAACCUGCCGCCUCCGUGCCUGGGGUGGCGCCGCGCGGCCCCGAGCGCUCCAGAAAGCUGCGGCGCGAGUCCGCGGGGCCGACCUCGGAGACGCAGCUGGGGCCGGGCGCGGCUUGGCGGGAGGGUCUGCAGCGCCGAGGGAGGCUGCUAGUGCGUGAGGAAGAGAGCUAGAGACUGGACACGGGAGACAGAGCAGCGUCAGAGCCGCGCAGGGGACGGGAGUGAGAGCAGGAGCGACGCAGAGCGGCCGUCGCCGUGCCCGGGUCUCAGGGCGCCUGGCUGAAGUGAGCAUGGCUUCAGUGGCCUGGGCCGUCCUCAAGGUGCUGCUGCUUCUCCCCACUCAGACUUGGAGCCCCGUGGGAGCAGGAAAUCCACCUGACUGUGAUGCCCCACUGGCCUCUGCCUUGCCUAGGUCAUCCUUCAGCAGCUCCUCAGAGCUGUCCAGCAGCCACGGCCCGGGGUUUUCAAGGCUUAAUCGAAGAGAUGGAGCUGGUGGCUGGACUCCACUUGUGUCAAAUAAAUACCAAUGGCUG
This 562-nucleotide long non-coding RNA is filed under the name Homo sapiens (human). RNAcentral describes it as "HSALNT0352212". Lineage: Eukaryota; Metazoa; Chordata; Mammalia; Primates; Hominidae. The record is from RNAcentral.